AAUGAACGCUGGCGGCAUGCCUAACACAUGCAAGUCGAACGAGACCUUCGGGUCUAGUGGCGCACGGGUGCGUAACGCGUGGGAACCUGCCCUUAGGUUCGGCAUAACUCCCCGAAAGGGGUGCUAAUACCGGAUAAUGUCUUCGGACCAAAGAUUUAUCGCCUUUGGAUGGGCCCGCGUUGGAUUAGCUAGUUGGUAGGGUAAAAGCCUACCAAGGCGACGAUCCAUAGCUGGUCUGAGAGGAUGAUCAGCCACACUGGGACUGAGACACGGCCCAGACUCCUACGGGAGGCAGCAGUGGGGAAUAUUGGACAAUGGGCGAAAGCCUGAUCCAGCAAUGCCGCGUGAGUGAUGAAGGCCUUAGGGUUGUAAAGCUCUUUUACCCGGGAUGAUAAUGACAGUACCGGGAGAAUAAGCUCCGGCUAACUCCGUG
This 433-nucleotide ribosomal RNA is filed under the name uncultured bacterium. Its description in RNAcentral is "partial 16S ribosomal RNA". It matches the Rfam family "Bacterial small subunit ribosomal RNA", at positions 29 to 507 of the family's 1533-position model. The record is from RNAcentral.